This 1486-nucleotide ribosomal RNA is filed under the name Vibrio tasmaniensis 1F-267. RNAcentral's name for it is "bacterial LSU rRNA". It matches the Rfam family "Bacterial large subunit ribosomal RNA", at positions 1487 to 2925 of the family's 2925-position model. The record is from RNAcentral. Lineage: Bacteria; Pseudomonadati; Pseudomonadota; Gammaproteobacteria; Vibrionales; Vibrionaceae.
UGGGCCUGGCGACGGUUGUCCAGGUUCAAGUAUGUAGGCGGAAAGUUUAGGUAAAUCCGGACUUUCUUAACGCUGAGAUACGAUGUCGAGCUACUACGGUAGUGAAGUCAUUGAUGCCAUGCUUCCAGGAAAAGCCUCUAAGCUUCAGAUUGUAAGGAAUCGUACCCCAAACCGACACAGGUGGUCGGGUAGAGAAUACCAAGGCGCUUGAGAGAACUCGGGUGAAGGAACUAGGCAAAAUGGUACCGUAACUUCGGGAGAAGGUACGCUCUUAUCAGUGAAGUCCCUUGCGGAUGGAGCAGACGAGAGUCGCAGAUACCAGGUGGCUGCAACUGUUUAUUAAAAACCACAGCACUGUGCAAAAUCGUAAGAUGACGUAUACGGUGUGACGCCUGCCCGGUGCCGGAAGGUUAAUUGAUGGGGUUAGACUUCGGUCGAAGCUCUUGAUCGAAGCCCCGGUAAACGGCGGCCGUAACUAUAACGGUCCUAAGGUAGCGAAAUUCCUUGUCGGGUAAGUUCCGACCUGCACGAAUGGCGUAAUGAUGGCCACGCUGUCUCCACCCGAGACUCAGUGAAAUUGAAAUCGCUGUGAAGAUGCAGUGUACCCGCGGCUAGACGGAAAGACCCCGUGAACCUUUACUACAGCUUGGCACUGAACAUUGAACCUACAUGUGUAGGAUAGGUGGGAGACUAUGAAACCGCGUCGCUAGAUGUGGUGGAGUCGUCCUUGAAAUACCAACCCUUGUAGUUUUGAUGUUCUAACGUUGGUCCCUGAAUCGGGAUUACGGACAGUGCCUGGUGGGUAGUUUGACUGGGGCGGUCUCCUCCCAAAGAGUAACGGAGGAGCACGAAGGUGGGCUAAACACGGUUGGACAUCGUGUGGUUAGUGCAAUGGCAUAAGCCCGCUUGACUGCGAGAAUGACAAUUCGAGCAGGUGCGAAAGCAGGUCAUAGUGAUCCGGUGGUUCUGAAUGGAAGGGCCAUCGCUCAACGGAUAAAAGGUACUCCGGGGAUAACAGGCUGAUACCGCCCAAGAGUUCAUAUCGACGGCGGUGUUUGGCACCUCGAUGUCGGCUCAUCACAUCCUGGGGCUGAAGUCGGUCCCAAGGGUAUGGCUGUUCGCCAUUUAAAGUGGUACGCGAGCUGGGUUUAGAACGUCGUGAGACAGUUCGGUCCCUAUCUGCCGUGGGCGUUGGAAAAUUGAAAGGGGCUGCUCCUAGUACGAGAGGACCGGAGUGGACGAACCUCUGGUGUUCGGGUUGUCAUGCCAAUGGCAUUGCCCGGUAGCUAAGUUCGGAAUCGAUAACCGCUGAAAGCAUCUAAGCGGGAAGCGAGCCUUGAGAUGAGUUUUCCCUGGCACUAUAAGUGUCCUAAAGGGUUGUCGUAGACUACGACGUUGAUAGGCAGGGUGUGUAAGUGCUGCGAGGCAUUGAGCUAACCUGUACUAAUUGCCCGUGAGGCUUAACCAUACAACACCCAAGGGGUUU